Molecule: ribosomal RNA, 497 nt
Filed under: uncultured bacterium
Lineage: Bacteria
Description: partial 16S ribosomal RNA
Rfam family: Bacterial small subunit ribosomal RNA
Source: RNAcentral
GAUGAACGCUGGCGGCGUGCCUAAUACAUGCCAGUCGAGCGAACAGACGAGGAGCUUGCUCCUCUGACGUUAGCGGCGGACGGGAGAGUAACACGUGGAUAACCUCCCUAUAAGACUGGGAACAUUUCGGGAAACCGGAGCUAAUACCGGAUAAUAUAUUGAACCGCAUGGUUCAAUAGUGAAAGACGGUUUUGCUGUCACUUAUAGAUGGAUCCGCGCCGGAUUAGCUAGUUGGUAAGGUAACGGCUUAACAAGGCAACGAUGCGUAGCCGACCUGACAGGGUGAUCGGCGACACUGGAACUGAGACACGGUCCAGACUCCUACGGGAGGCAGCAGUAGGGAAUCUUCGGCAAUGGGCGGAAGCCUGACGGAGCGACGCCGCGUGAGUGAUGAAGGUCUUCGGAUCGUAAAACUCUGUUAUUAGGGAUGAACAGAUGUGUAAGUAACUAUGCACGUCUUGACGGUACCUAAUCAGAAAGCCACGGCUAACUACGUG